GCCGCGGGGGCAAAAAGCAGCGGGAGCGGGGGCAAAAAACCACAGAAAGCCGAGGCGGCGAGGGGAAAGAGCCGCGGCGGCAGGGGGCAAAAAGCUGCAAAAAGCAGCGGCGGCAAAAAGCCGCGGCGGCGGGGGCAAAAAGCCGCGGCGGCGGCGGGGGCAAAAAGCUGCAAAAAGCCGCGGCGGCGGGGACAAAAAGCUAGGGCGGCAAAAAGCCG
This 218-nucleotide long non-coding RNA is filed under the name Homo sapiens (human). RNAcentral describes it as "HSALNT0305886". Lineage: Eukaryota; Metazoa; Chordata; Mammalia; Primates; Hominidae. The record is from RNAcentral.